Long non-coding RNA from Hipposideros armiger (great roundleaf bat), 1049 nucleotides. RefSeq lists it as uncharacterized. The record is from RefSeq and is a predicted model, not a curated record. The transcript has 3 exons. Lineage: Eukaryota; Metazoa; Chordata; Mammalia; Chiroptera; Hipposideridae.
CUGGUUCUCCCAAAAACAUCUUUAGAGUUUUCACGGAGCUUCACAUUUGAAACCCCUUGCAGAGUGGGCUCUCUAUGAGAAACAUACAACUACAAACCCUUAAACUGGGAAAGUGAGAGCAUUUAUUUAGAAGUUUGUUAUUUUCCUUUGAUGCUCGUUGAUUGCAAAUUGGCCUAAGAAGCUUAAAGCCUGCAACACUGAAAACUUGCAGGUUGUACAGCGAGGAAGUCAGAGUGGAAACUAUCCCUGUGAACUAACGGAUGUAAGACCAGGAAGCCAGCGCAUCCACCGAUGCCCAUAAUGGGCUGGCACGUGUGUGUGUACACAACGGUGAAUUUCCUCCAGGUCCUUAGUGUUUCUGAGAUCGUAAAGAGAUUGAAAGGGGCCUGAGAGGUGCCUGCCACGCUUUCUGAAAGGAGACUAAUGCCAGCGAGACCGCCCCAGCCCUGAGACUGCCUGAGAACCCUCGUGGAGUCCACGCAACUGGGUACUUGACACUUUGUCUUCCGAUUGACAGUGUUCUCAUUUUUAUUUGGGGAAUGACACCAGGGCUGUUAUGAGAACUGAAUUAAUUGAAUGCUGCAAUGAAGCUAUUCUUACCCUUGGCUGACAGUAGGGUUUGGCCCUCGCGCUCCUCCAGGGCCCACACUAAGCAUUUUUGACUCUCACUUUGGUUGUUACUCAUGCCCAGCAUCUUCAAACCCUGUCUGGCUGGACUCAGCGGCACGUUUGUGGCUUUAAUAGCAGUCCCUGGGCUGUCUCAGUUUUGAAGUCACUGAGCUCUGACACCUGCCUUCCAGGGUCUGUGUGUUUCCUCCAUAAUUCUCCCACUAUGACCAUUUCACAGUUCAGUGACAAAACCCUUCUGCUCAAGUCUCUGGUCUCAGAUACCCACUGAAUCAGAACAUUUCAACCGGUGACACAAUUGAAUAGAACAUUUCCCCCCAAAUUACCAAAGCUUAGUAUACUAUUUAAAGGUUAAAAUGUUCUGUAAAAAAAUUGGUAGUUACAAAAUAGUCACAGGAAUGUAAAGUACAGCAUAGAGAAUA